This is a long non-coding RNA of Falco peregrinus (peregrine falcon), 2291 nucleotides long. RefSeq lists it as uncharacterized. The transcript has 3 exons. NCBI's taxonomy places the organism in Eukaryota, Metazoa, Chordata, Aves, Falconiformes, Falconidae. The record is from RefSeq and is a predicted model, not a curated record.
CAGGGGCUCACUAGCCAAGGCUGUCUCACAGCCCCAGCCAGGAGCAGGGCAUCUGGGGUGCACCAGGGAAGCCCCAGCCCCAAGCUUUGGUCACCUCUCUGGGGAUGGGCCAAGGCUGGGACAGGACCUCAGCCUUGGCUCAGUGUGGCUCAAGCAACAGCUGGCUGGAUAAAAAUCCUGGCAGCAGGGUGUUCAGCCAAAGCUAGAGUACAGAGGCAGCACCAGGUUUUCCAGACUUCGCUACUAGGAAUUUUCAGGAUUUCAGAAACAUCCGAUCCUCAAAGGCUCCCAGCUGAUACUGAAGUAGCUGAACUUCUGCCAAAACCUAACUUAGAGUUAGCUGGAUUACCUCUGUAUGUCAUGGCCUAUGGACACUACACUCAGGGAUGUGAAAAGCUGAUGAUCUGUUUAUGAAAGGCUUUGUUUACAGGCAUGUAAAUAAUGCUGAUGCCCUUGCAGGCUUUUAUCUAUUCUAGGAGUCCCAUGAGACAAAAACAUUCACGCUGAUUUCAUGGAAUGGACUGAGAAGUUUCAAGAGGCUCUCUGAGAAGCACUUUAUGCCGCUGGCUAAAAUCUGAAAUACAAAUCUACAAGAGAAUAGGGAAUUAAGCUAAGGAAGGAGAAAAAAACCAAAACCAAACAAGGAUGAUACAAGAGACCAAAACAUGGCAACAGCAACAAAAACACAUUUAUCUCUGAAGCCAUGGGCUAUUACAUUUUAUUCUCUGUAGAGGGAAGAAAGAAUUAGAAUUCUACUUAGGUAUCUUCAAUUGAAAGGCAUGGAAGUAGGGGAUUGGAAAGAGAUAUUGAUGGCUUUAAAUAAUCACUUUCCCAGAAAAGGAACAGAAAGUUUAUCCUGUAAUGCACUCAGAAAACUGCUUGCCUAAAGUCACCGUUAUUUUAAGAGGAGCCACGUUACAUGUUGGUUGCUUGAGAAGUAAAUCACAUACAUACAAAGCUUCAACAACAACGACAAAAAAGGACGAGAUAGGUGCUGGUUUUUAUCUGUCUACUCAUUUCUGAAAGUCUUCAUCACAGCAACAUCUGAGCAUCCAUGGAUGCCAGCCAGACCUUCAAAACAUCCACAGAACAUGCUAGAGUUUCUCUCACUUUCUCUUAAUGGAUAUUAUUAUUUCCUAUCACAAGUUGUUUCAGACUGGAAUUUAACUUCUUCUGCGUGUGGGUAUUUUCAUUUUCCACUGGUAUGUAUGGACUCUUAGUAUUUAGAGAGCACAGCGGAAGGAAAAGUAGUAGGAUAAAAAUGAAUGGUGUUUAUUUUUCUUUGAUUGGAUUGAACAGCAAAUAGUGUGAAUUUGAGUAGACAAAGAAGCCUGUUAUUCCAUUUUUGGGUGAGAUUAACUGCUAAGUAACACUAAAGCUUGCACAAUGGUCUAGAAAACUGCUAUCAGACUAAAAGGAUAAUAAAAUGUUUUGGACAGAAAUCCAAACAAUGGUGAGUAAUGAAUAUCUAGCGAUCUAUAAUUCUGACAAAGGUUUUUCUUUGAGGCUAUGUGUUAGAAUUACAUGCACAUACACAUGCUCAAAAUACUGCAGUACUCAGCAUGAUUUAUGUACUUGAUAAAAUGCCUCAUAGUAGCGCAAAAAUAGAAUUACACCAGGUGCGUAACAAACAGACAUGCUACUUUUAAAAAACUCAAGUCAGCCAACUGGAGUGGGAGCCAAUGAGAGCAGAUGAUCAACAUAUUUAUUUUGAAAGCAGCCAGAAUGCCUCAACCUUCUUCAGUCACAACUAUCUACACUAAAUCAUGGUAAUCCCAGAUUCAGCUAAUCCCAGUUAUGGCUCUGUUAUCAGGUGAGAGUAAAAGUAAUUCUUUUACCUGGGCCAACGUUCUCAUUUCUCACUGUCAUCAUUGUUUGCUUUUACUGUCCAUGCCAGAUAAACCUGGCACUUCCUAAAGCCAUGGCCAAAGUUCGUGUAACUCAAUGUUCAAAUUAAACCACAGAGAAGUCCACAGAUCCUGCCGCAGUAGCUCCAGGCUCCAGGGACACAAAAAAUUAAGGCAGUGACACAAAGAAGAAAGUUGAUACAAAGUCCAAGAGAAGGGGAAAUAAUUGCUUUGAUGGAGCUGAAAGACAAGAAUGACUCCUCCUGCCAGUAUAGUGGCAUCUUUGAAAGAGGGAGACUACAACUCUGAAUGAAAACUGGGCAUUCCUUCUCAAAAAUUUCUGCUAAGCAAAAGGAAAUAUCUUUGAAUAUCUGGAUUCAUAUUCUAGAUCUUUGCAUAUUUGGAUUCAAAUUCUAGAUUUUAAUAUAAAUGUUUGAGAAAUAG